GUCUAUGGCCAUGCCACCCCAAACAAGCCCCAUGUCUAAUCUUGGAAGCUAAGCAGGGUUGGCCCUGGUUAGUACAUGGAUGGGAGACCACCUAGGAAGACCAGGAACUGUAGGCA
Molecule: ribosomal RNA, 116 nt
Filed under: Pteropus alecto (black flying fox)
Lineage: Eukaryota; Metazoa; Chordata; Mammalia; Chiroptera; Pteropodidae
Source: RNAcentral